Mus caroli (Ryukyu mouse) is the source of this 834-nucleotide non-coding RNA. Lineage: Eukaryota; Metazoa; Chordata; Mammalia; Rodentia; Muridae. The record is from RefSeq and is a predicted model, not a curated record.
AUGGCGGGCAAGGCCCGGGCGCGCGGGGCAGGCGGCGACGGGGGCGAGGACGACGCCAGGGCGGCGAGAACAAAGCUGGGGGACAAAGACCGCGUUGAGAACUCAGGCAGGCGACAGCAGCACCCACCGCACGCGCAGCACCCUCUGACUUCGAGGAGGGCGGGGCGAGGCGGGGCGGGGCGGGACGGGGCGGAGCUGUCCGCGGGAAAGGAUAACGUCACCCAGGCCAGCGGCCUUACUCGUAGGCGCAGCGGGAGGUCAACAUGCCGGGUUUGUCGCAAAACCUAUGUGACCCCACGGAGACCCUUCGAGAAAUCGCGUCUCGACCAGGAGCUAAAGUUGAUUGGAGAGUAUGGACUCCGGAACAAACGUGAGGUUUGGAGGGUCAAGUUUACCCUGGCCAAGAUCCGUAAGGCGGCCCGGGAGCUGUUGACGUUGGACGAGAAGGAUCCUCGGUGUCUGUUUGAAGGCAAUGCUUUACUGAGGCGACUUGUUCGCAUUGGGGUGCUGGACGAGGGCAAGAUGAAGCUGGAUUACAUCCUGGGCCUGAAGAUUGAGGAUUUCUUGGAGAGGCGGCUGCAGACCCAGGUCUUUAAGCUGGGCCUGGCCAAAUCUAUUCACCAUGCCGGUGUGCUCAUCCGCCAACGGCACAUUAGGGUCCGCAAGCAGGUGGUGAACAUCUCAUCCUUCAUUGUUCGCCUGGACUCUCAGAAGCACAUUGACUUCUCCCUCCGUUCUCCUUAUGGUGGUGGCCGUCCAGGCCGAGUGAAGAGGAAGAAUGCCAAGAAAGGCCAGGGUGGUGCUGGAGCUGGUGAUGAUGAGGAAGAGGAUUAA